CAGAAAAGAGAGUUUACAUCUAUUUUAAAACACCAGAUCAAUAUUCCCUGUUCUGUAAGAGCAAUGGCCAGGUCAGAGAACAUCCCUCUGGAGGAGGAGAUGGUGAUCAUCCUGGACCAAUGCGGGCCAGAUCUGACAUAUGUCCUGCAUAGCAAGUUUGGAUGUACUGCUGUGCUCCAUGGUGUUGAUGCCGGUGCAGGUGCCAUGAAGUUCAAGAAGCCAGUAUUUAAGCACAAAACGGUCCAUUCCGACUCCAGAGAUGCAAGGAAAGGUUUUCAACCGUUUAUCGAGCUCUGCGGUGCCUAUCAUGAGACAUUGAGGGAGGCCAGACGCUGGUAUUUGGAUGUUUUGUACCCUGCCUCGAAGAAUGUAAUCACCAUUCACAACAAUUUCAUCCAGCACUUUGGCCAGAGGGAGUUUGAAGAGCUUCUUUCCCUUCAGACCAAGAGGGAAGUUUCCAUCGAGGAGAACUUUAAAGAUGGCCGCUUUGGAUUGACCAUCCAGGGGGCUUCUAUAAAGCUGCUGUGUUAGAGGUGGAAGCCCUGUGCUGCAAAGUCCAAGAGGACUUUGCAAAAGAAGAGUUGAGUUUAAUAGGCCUGCAAUCUCUCAUCAGUUCCCCAAGGAAGCCUGUAGAUGACAACAGUUCUGACUAUAAAGAGAGACAGCAACAUUUUCCCGGACUUCAAAUUGUCAGGGUUGAGAAGGUGGAGAACAAAGCUCUGAAGCAGGUCUUUGACCUUAGGAAAAGGCAGUUGCAGGUGUCUACCUCUUCUCAGCGAAUGUACCAGCGCUUGCCUGUGCAAUUCUGUGACCUGCUCAGCAGAGUGGGCUUUCAGAUGGAGUUUGCACCACCUGAUGGUAAGAGAGAUUCAGAUGGAGUUUAC
Molecule: long non-coding RNA, 884 nt
Filed under: Salmo salar (Atlantic salmon)
Lineage: Eukaryota; Metazoa; Chordata; Actinopteri; Salmoniformes; Salmonidae
Description: lncRNA (ENSSSAG00000090921.1)
Source: RNAcentral